Long non-coding RNA from Rattus rattus (black rat), 1882 nucleotides. RefSeq lists it as uncharacterized. The transcript has 2 exons. The record is from RefSeq and is a predicted model, not a curated record. NCBI's taxonomy places the organism in Eukaryota, Metazoa, Chordata, Mammalia, Rodentia, Muridae.
UGACUGGGGGCAGGGAGUAUGAAUGACAGGAGAUAGAGGGGAUCUCCAGGAGCACAACCCUCUGAGACGCCCGACAAGCGCGGCAGGUGUCACCGCGCUCCUCCUUCCGCCCCCAAACCACUUGUGGUGCGCGUGGGACCACGGGGCGCUCAGAUCCUCCGGUGGCUCUGGUCACUCUGCGCCCCACACCAAAUGGAUAAAGCCUUGCUUGCCCUAAAUGAGAAGUGCCCCCCCCCACCUCCUGCACACCUCACUGAGUUGUGCCCGGUUGGUUCCACAAGUAGGAUUUAAAGAGACACCUCGUUAUUUCGCCACUGUCCUAGAAAUAAGAAAUACAAAACCGGAAGACAAAAAUAAUCUCCACCCUGGAAGGGUUCUGUUUUUGCAAGCAUAGCGCGCUGAAAUGCUGAAAAGUCCGUACCUCAAGUCCUGAAGGUUGGGAACUAACCCAGCGGGUGACAGUGUGCUGCUCCAGGUACCCAGGUCGUCUCCCAGCGGCGCCUCGGAGCGUUACUUGGGCACAGUCCACAGAAAAAGAGAAGGGAGAAAGGCCGACACACCUCUGGCCACAGCACUAACAACUGUGGCGAAUCCGGAGCUUUCCGCAGGACAGAGGAGAGAGAGCUGCGGCAGACAGCAGCUUUGGGGCUAGGACUUUGCCUUUUCCAGCGGCCGGCACAGACUCGGUUGCCCCUUGGAUUCUUCGCAAGAAAUCUGUGUUUUAAUCCUCGCCCCGAAUGAAGUCUCACCAAGAGCUUGCCGGCUCUAGAACGAGGGUUGUUUUGCAGGCAAGUUCCUGGGCUUCGCUCCAAAGCUGCCUCGGGAUGUUUUGGUUGGUUUAGAGGAAAGCUGCGGCCUCUCCUACCCAGUUCUUAACCAGACAGCCCCCUGGCGGCAGCGAGGAAAAGCCUGGCUGGGCCCAGGUUUCAUGGGGGGGCCAAGCCUUGGGAUCAGCUCUGUAAUAAGGGUAGCACGGGGAAUUCAAGAGGCCCUGAGAAGCCUGGAGUCCCAGGACGUCUUACUUCUUUUCCUACACAUGUCUCUGAGCCAUGUUUUUGCUUAAAUUCUCUCUCAAGAAAGACACACACUAAAAGUGAAAUCUAACAGCCGCAAAAGGUUACUUUUCUUUGUUUAGAUGGUUUUGUCUGAUUUCAUUUUGCCUGGAAAGUUCUGAAAUAAGAAUCAAAGUAUUUAAAGUCUCGCGACACGACAGUGUUACAGGACUGGCUGUAACCGUGUUAUGUAAUCAGAGCGCUCCAACAAGGAAAUCUGGUAGGAUUCCAUUGGGACGGGUAUUGAGAGCUGAACCAGGCAGGUGGUGGUAAGGGGUUGCCAUAAGAGUCUGUUACAGGACUCGGUGUCAUGGGAAUUCUCAGAGCCAUGGGAACUCUCAGGAAGGCAAAGAGAUAUUCUAACCUGGGAGCACAGGGUCCCCAGGUCCCGUCUAUGCUGACUUGUGUUGCACAGGUGCUAUUUCCAGAACCUAGGAUUACAGUUCACCUGCACCACCCUCCUGACCAAUCUAUGGAUUUCAAGCUGAUGAUUCCAGUCAAGGAAGCAAGCCAUCUGUUUCUUUCGGGCAGAACUACUGGGCGAGAAAGAGGCUGAAACACACAGCCCAACAGGAGUGGGCUUGGGUCACAGUGCACCCAGCCAUGCAUCUUCAUUUAAUAUGGUAAAAUGUGGUGUGUUGUGAACACUUAUGCACUCUUGUUGAAUUUUAGAACAUUCUCUCUUAACUCCCGCCUUUGUGAACACUGCUUACAUUUUUAGAUCGAUGUGAAUGUCUUACUCACCUAACUAAGGGUUUUUUUUUUUUCCUGCCUACUGUGCCUAUGAAUCAGAAUCCAGUUGGAGAAAUAAAGCUCAAAUUAGAACUGAA